UGCAUAUCAAAUAAGCGGAGGAAAAGAAACUAACAAGGAUUCCCCUAGUAACGGCGAGUGAAGAGGGAAGAGCCCAAGAUUGAAAGCUGGCGUCUUCGGCGUCCGCAUUGUAAUCUCAAGAAGUGUUUUCCGCUUCGGACCAUGCCUAAGUCCCUUGGAAAAGGGCAUCAUAGAGGGUGAUAAUCCCGUACAUGGCAUGGAGCGCCCGAAGCUUUGUGAUACGCUUUCUAAGAGUCGAGUUGUUUGGGAAUGCAGCUCAAAAUGGGUGGUAAAUGCCAUCUAAGGCUAAAUAUUGGGGAGAGACCGAUAGCGAACAAGUACAGUGAUGGAAAGAUGAAAAGAACUUUGAAAAGAGAGUUAAACAGUACGUGAAAUUGCCAAAAGGGAAGGGUAGGAGGUCAGAGAUGUGUCUUGGGAUUCAGCCUUGCUUUUUGCAUGGUGUUUUUUCCAAGUUGCAGGCCAACGUCGGUUUUGGACACUGGAGAAGGGUGGAAGGAACGUGGCACCUCUCGGGGUGUGUUAUAGCCUUCUACUGGAUACAGCGACCGAGACCGAG
This 556-nucleotide ribosomal RNA is filed under the name Pseudozyma sp. Its description in RNAcentral is "partial large subunit ribosomal RNA". It matches the Rfam family "Eukaryotic large subunit ribosomal RNA", at positions 37 to 592 of the family's 3401-position model. Lineage: Eukaryota; Fungi; Basidiomycota; Ustilaginomycetes; Ustilaginales; Ustilaginaceae. The record is from RNAcentral.